UGCAACUUAGUUUACUUAGAACCAUCAACUUGCACUUGAUAAGAGAGGCUCCUCAGUCGCGG
RNAcentral lists this transfer RNA (62 nucleotides) under Eisenia nordenskioldi pallida. Its description in RNAcentral is "tRNA-Ala". The record is from RNAcentral. Lineage: Eukaryota; Metazoa; Annelida; Clitellata; Crassiclitellata; Lumbricidae.